GAAACAUCUUCACAGUGGGCAGAGUGGUAGCUUUUGAUGGUCCUUCAGAGCCUCAGCUCUGGGAAUUCUAGCUCAUAUCCCCAUAGUCUGCUCCCAAGCCCACCCCCUCUUGUUUUUGGAACAAAGGCUGAAAAUAGCCAUCACAAAUAUUUCGAAUGAUUUGGUUGGUUAGAUUAAAAUGCAAACCACUGGUAAGUUUAUAAAAUAAUUUCAAAUGAAAGAGUGCUAUAAAUAAGGGGUAGACCUAUUCCCUGCAGGAAGAAUGCCUCCCACUAUGAAAAUGGAAAAGCAUUAAGGAAGCACGACCCAGCUCGGCCCUUUCUGUUGGAAUUGGUGAGGUGGGAGUGACUGAGACAUAAACCUCGCCCCUGAGGAAGGUCUGAUCCUGUGAGCAAGAAAGGCAGUGAGAAGCACAGCCUGAAUCUGUAGAGGGCAGGAUCUGAGGACGACCUUGCAAGCUGUGUGUACAGAGGUUUGAGCCCCCAAGAUAACAGGAGUUUCCUCACACAGGAAUGUUCUGCCAUGACCAGGAGCUUCCCAUGAAGCUCAAUUUCAUCCCCAAAUCCCUUGGUUGGAAUUAUAUAUGGAGAAUGACUCUGCCCCAGGGAAAUCUUAAGUGCUAGAAAUAGGCUUUAAAAGUUGCUCCAACACCUUUUCUCCCAUUCAGCUAGAAAUUAAAGACUGUCUCCUGUGAAUGAAAAGUUCCUGCAAGCUGGACAGGGCACAAAAGUUACCCCAAUAAGGAGUAUGGAGAGGGUUCACCCCCAGUUUCACUCUUGAUAACCCCAGCCCCAACAAGUUGCAAUCUCAUGAUAUCUGCCAUUAUUUAUUUUUAUGACAUUGAUCGCAUUGAUGAUGAGUGAAAUGAAAAAAAGAAAUCAUGGAAUCACAAGACUUGGAUAAUUCACACCCUAGAUGACCAGUCCUCAGGUCAUUGACACGGGACAGUUUUAAUGGCUCCACCCAUCUUGUGAGUAACGACUCCAGGUGCCAGCAGGUGAAGGUCUGGGCUCCUCAGCAGGGCAGACGAGUCUCACCUCUCUCCAGCCCCAUUGCCAUCACUCUCCUCCACAUGCACCUGCACACACCUGCAGGCCCAGGUCCUCAGCUAUGUACUCUACCUCUUCUCAGCUUUGGAAAUGUCUACUCAUCCUCUGUGGUGCAGUUAAAAUGUCUCCUUGGCGUGUUUUACAGAACUUCCGGACCAGAUUUUACGUAUUCUUCCUUUGUGGAAAGCACUGUGCUGAGAAAAAAAGAGGAAAGAAUCUUGCAUUGAAGUACCUAGCUUUGUUUGCUUUGUCUUUUAAUUUUAAAAAAUUAUAGUCGUGAUAAAAUACACAUAAAACUGACCAUUUGAACCACUUUGAGGUGUGUCGUUUGGUACUGUUAAUUAUACCCACAGUGCUGAAGCUUGGAUCUUUAGAACUUUUUUCUUCAUCUAGCAAAACAGCAACUCUGAGUCCAUGAACAAUAACUCUCCAGUCCCCUUUCCCCAGCCCUGGGCUACCAUUUGUCUGUUCAUCCAGUGAUGGAAAUUUAGUCGCUUCCACCUUUGUCUACUGUGAAUAAUGCUAUUAUGAACAUGAGUAUACAAAUAUCUCGUUAAGACUUUGCUUUCAAUUCUCCUGGAUAUAUAUUAGAAGCUGAUGAUAAUUCUUUUUUAUUUAAUUUCUGAGGAACCCCUUACUGUUACUCAUAGUGGCUGCACGAUUUUAUAUUUCUACUAACAGCGCACAAGGACGCCAACUUCUUGG
Molecule: long non-coding RNA, 1754 nt
Organism: Heterocephalus glaber (naked mole-rat)
Lineage: Eukaryota; Metazoa; Chordata; Mammalia; Rodentia; Bathyergidae
Source: Ensembl